RNAcentral lists this microRNA precursor (115 nucleotides) under Gossypium arboreum. Its description in RNAcentral is "MIR7502 microRNA precursor family". It matches the Rfam family "MIR7502 microRNA precursor family". Lineage: Eukaryota; Viridiplantae; Streptophyta; Magnoliopsida; Malvales; Malvaceae. The record is from Rfam by way of RNAcentral.
UGUUAAAAAAUUCAUCUAUUUCUACUAUUAAACAUUGGCGUGGCUAACAGAAUAAACAGACUGUUGACAUACCAGGACCAAUUUUUAAUAGUGGAAAUGGAUAAAAUUUUUAAUA